RNAcentral lists this ribosomal RNA (652 nucleotides) under Thilmanus obscurus. RNAcentral describes it as "eukaryotic LSU rRNA". It matches the Rfam family "Eukaryotic large subunit ribosomal RNA", at positions 671 to 1260 of the family's 3401-position model. The record is from RNAcentral. Lineage: Eukaryota; Metazoa; Arthropoda; Insecta; Coleoptera; Omalisidae.
GAGUCUAGCAUGUGCGCGAGUCAUUGGGAUUCGUUGCUAAACCUAAAGGCGAAAUGAAAGUGAAGGCAUGCCUUGCGCAGGCCAAGGGAGGAUGGGCGCGACCCGUUCGCUGCCUCGCACUCCCGGGGCGUCUCGUUCUCAUUGCGAGAAGAGGCGCACCUAGAGCGUACACGCUGGGACCCGAAAGAUGGUGAACUAUGCCUGGUCAGGACGAAGUCAGGGGAAACCCUGAUGGAGGUCCGUAGCGAUUCUGACGUGCAAAUCGAUCGUCGGAACUGGGUAUAGGGGCGAAAGACUAAUCGAACCAUCUAGUAGCUGGUUCCCUCCGAAGUUUCCCUCAGGAUAGCUGGCGCUCGUUUUUAAACAUGUAGAGAGCGAGUCUCAUCCGGUAAAGCGAAUGAUUAGAGGCAUUGGGGUCGAAACGGCCUCAACCUAUUCUCAAACUUUAAAUGGGUGAGAUCUCCGGCUUGCUUAAAAUAAUCUUAUUUUGAAGCCGCGAGAUCGGAUCAGAGUGCCAAGUGGGCCACUUUUGGUAAGCAGAACUGGCGCUGUGGGAUGAACCAAACGCGGAGUUAAAGCGCCUAAAUCGACGCUUAUGGGAUACCAUGAAAGGCGUUGGUAACUUAAAACAGCAGGACGGUGGCCAUGGAAG